CUUGACAAGUAGUCGCACAUUUUGCUUUGUACCAUGUGACAAAUGACACUCGGCAAGUUUCAAGCCACACGAUAUUCAAUUAUUGAUGCUAGGUUUAUUGAAUUACUAAAUCUAGUAAUUAUGAAUUUACAAUUAUUUAAAUUUAAAUAAUUUUAACUUUAAAUUAUAAGUAGAUUAUAAUCAAAUCCAAACAAGUACUUACUAAUAUCUCGGUUCGGGACAGUGGUACGCGAUCUGAUGAGCUAUGGGCCUAUAUCAUAUGUCAUAUAAUCACCUGUAUAUUUCCAAUAGAAAAACCUUUAUGCCUUAUCAUGAUGAACACCACCACCACACACUCAAGUGCUCCGCGUCCUUCCCCGGCCGGGCAGGCCCCGAGCUCCGACAUCUCCGUCCGCACGGCCCUCCUCUGCCUUGUAGCAGUGAUAACCACACCAUUAAUUAUCUACACAUUCUUUUUUGCUAUGAGAUUUCCUCGGAAUCCUUUCCGGCGAUCUAGCCGCCGCUCCGGAAUACCGGACGGAGAAGUGAGCUGUAACGGUAAAGAAUUCGAACUGGUUUGUGGCGUUAGGAAAGAGGCGCGUGCAAAAGAAACCGCCGGAAGCGAGUGCCCUGUGUGUCUAUCGGUUUUUGUUGAGGGAGAAGGGAUUAGGCAGUUGAAUGCGUGUAAACACGUUUUUCAUGUUGAGUGUAUUGAUAAGUGGCUCUAUUCGCAUUCGAAUUGCCCGGUAUGUCGUGUUUCUGUUUCGGUAAAGCGCUGUAAACGGGCUUCAAAUAUUGGCGGAGAUGAAGAUUUCCGGCAAGGUUUGCCGGAUGCGGCUAACCUGGUUUAAUUUCCGGCGAGGGAAUUAUAAGUACCAUUUUACCGUUCUUUAUUUUCAAAAUCAAUUUUAUUUUAGAUGAUUGUUGGCACCCCAUUUUUUACUCGUUGCACGUAAGGCUGAUUCAAAUCGUUCGAACUGAUUAACCCAACUUUGAAGGCGGAUUGGAUUGGAUCUCGCGAUAUGAAUUAAAACUCAAUCCAAUCUAAUGAAUAAAAAAUCUAAUAUAUAAAAUCGAAAAAUUUA
RNAcentral lists this long non-coding RNA (1064 nucleotides) under Olea europaea subsp. europaea. The record is from RNAcentral. Lineage: Eukaryota; Viridiplantae; Streptophyta; Magnoliopsida; Lamiales; Oleaceae.